Molecule: long non-coding RNA, 646 nt
Organism: Clupea harengus (Atlantic herring)
Lineage: Eukaryota; Metazoa; Chordata; Actinopteri; Clupeiformes; Clupeidae
Source: RefSeq, a predicted model, not a curated record
CUAACGUUACAUUAUUCAUAGGGUUAGCGCUGCCCCCAUCUCCUGCCCCAAACACAGCCCCGGAUCCGCGAGAUGCUCCUCCGGACUUAAACGAUUUUAACUCUCGACUCAAUGGGUAGGAUAUAGAAGGCUGUGCAACCUGCCUCCCGGCACAGUCAUGUACGGCUGAUUGUGAAGAAUGCCAUUUUCAUCAGAGAACAUCAUGGCACAGGACAGGCUGAAAAAUGUAGCCAUCAUUUCCAAAGAAAAGACAACUCUCAAGUCACUUCAACCAAAUCCUCAUUGGUAUGACAAGGCCAUAGACAUCUACAGACAGCUACACAGGCCACAGACAGCCAGGAGAGUUGACUUCUGUUUCAAACCAAUGCCCAUGUGCCCUCAGUAAUUACAGUAUCUUAAAGGCAUUGUGUAGGAUUUAGUGGCAGCAAAUUUGCAGAUUGCAACCAACUGAGUACCCCUCCGUCACCGCUCACUUUCCAAGCAUGUAGGGUAACCUAUGGUUGCCGUCAGUUGCCCUUAAACUGUGAAAGACCCUCUGAUGUUGAGAUAAUUUCCAAGCACUGUUAAUGAUUUAAGAAUAUAUGAAUCAAGUGCCUUGUAUUAAUAUAUUCCUUGUAUGAAUCAUGUGCUUAUGAAAACAGGAACA